CGAACAGGGAGCGGAGAGGGAGAAGGAGCAUUCACUGGUUAGGGUUUUGGAAGAGGAAGACAUGGAUGAGUACGAUAGUGGUGGCCGUAGUGCCGAUAAGGCUCCGGGAGCUGCUAACGAAGGCACGGCAGGUCCUAUUCUGUACAGGUCAUGGAUAUGCUUGGUCCUAGUUUGUGGGAUGUUUGGAAUAACAACUCACACAUGAUGUCAACUGAAAUGGUUGCAUGUAUUGCAAUUGAGGCCAUCUCCAUAUUAGAGAAGAUGCAUUCUAGAGGCAACUCGGUGGCAUGAUAGUUCGACUGGCCUUCAUGUUGACUAUGAUCAACGACCAAAUGUUUUUAGGUA
This is a non-coding RNA of Cajanus cajan (pigeon pea), 345 nucleotides long. The record is from RefSeq and is a predicted model, not a curated record. NCBI's taxonomy places the organism in Eukaryota, Viridiplantae, Streptophyta, Magnoliopsida, Fabales, Fabaceae.